This is a long non-coding RNA of Ictalurus punctatus (channel catfish), 616 nucleotides long. NCBI's taxonomy places the organism in Eukaryota, Metazoa, Chordata, Actinopteri, Siluriformes, Ictaluridae. The record is from Ensembl.
GGGAGUAGGGUGUAGGGUGUAGAGAGUGAGGUGUAGAGAAUAGGGUGCAGGGAGUGGGGAGUAGAGAGUAAGGGUGUAUGGAGUAGGGUGUAGGGAGUAGGGUGUGUGGUGUAGGGAAUAAAGAGUAGGGGAGUAUGGAGUAGGGAGUAGAGCGUAAGGGAGUAUGGAGUAGGGGAGUAUGGAGUAGGGUGUAGGGAGUAUGGUGUAUGGUGUAGUGUGUAUGGUGUAUGGUGUAGGGAGUAUGGUGUAGGGUGUAGGGAGUAUGGUGUAGGGUAUAGGGUGUAGGGAGUAUGGUGUAGGGUGUAGGGAGUAUGGUGUAGGGUGUAUGGUGUAGGGUGUAGGGAGUAUGGUGUAUGGUGUAGUGAGUAUCGUGUAGGGUGUAGGGAGUAUCGUGUAGGGUGUAGGGAGUAUGGUGUAGGGAGUAUCGUGUAGGGUGUAGGGAGUAUCGUGUAGGGUGUAGGGAGUAUGUAGUAGGGUGUAGGGAGUAUGGUGUAGGGAGUAUGGUGUAGGGUGUAGGGGAUAUGGUGUAUGGUGUAUGGUGUAGGGAGUAGGGUGUAGGGAGUAUGGUGUAGGGAGUAUGGUGUAGGGUGUAGGGAGUAUGGUGUAGUGGGUAGGG